CCUACGGGUGGCAGCAGUGAGGAAUAUUGGUCAAUGGGAGGAAUCCUGAACCAGCCAUGCCGCGUGCAGGACGACGGCUCUACGAGUUGUAAACUGCUUUUGUACCGGGGUAAAAUGCUCUACGAGUAGGGUUUUGAAAGUACGGUACGAAUAAGGAUCGGCUAACUCCGUGCCAGCAGCCGCGGUAAUACGGAGGAUCCGAGCGUUAUCCGGAUUCAUUGGGUUUAAAGGGUGCGUAGGUUGUUUUAUAAGUUAGCGGUGAAAUACCGAUGCUCAACAUCGGGGCUGCCGCUGAUACUGUAGGACUAGAGAUCGGAUGCAGCAGGCGGAAUGUGUAGUGUUGCGGUUAAAUGCAUAGAUAUUACACAGAACACCGAUUGCGAAGGCAGUUCACUGGACUGCAACUGACACUGAGGCUCGAAAGUGUGGGUAUCAAACAGGAUUAGAUACCCCAGUAGUC
RNAcentral lists this ribosomal RNA (460 nucleotides) under uncultured bacterium. Its description in RNAcentral is "partial 16S ribosomal RNA". It matches the Rfam family "Bacterial small subunit ribosomal RNA", at positions 338 to 795 of the family's 1533-position model. The record is from RNAcentral.